Molecule: ribosomal RNA, 468 nt
Filed under: uncultured bacterium
Lineage: Bacteria
Description: partial 16S ribosomal RNA
Rfam family: Bacterial small subunit ribosomal RNA
Source: RNAcentral
GACGAACGCUGGCGGCGUGCUUAACACAUGCAAGUCUAACGGAAAGGCCCUGCUGUUGUGGGGUGCUCGAGUGGCGAACGUGUUAGUAACACGUGAGUAACCUGCCCUUGACUUUGGGAUAACUUCAGGAAACUGGGGCUAAUACCGGAUAGGAGCUCCUGCUGCAUGGUGGGAGUUGGAUAGCUUCGGCGGUUGGGGAUGCACUAGCGGCUUAUCAGCUAGUUGAUGGGCUAGUGGCUUACCAAGACUUUGACGGGUAGCCGGCCUGAGAGGGUGACCGGACAGAUAGGGAAGAAGAUACGGCCCAGAAUCCUACGGGAAGAAGCAGUGGGGAAGAUUGAACAAUGGGAGGAAGAAUGAUGCAGCAACGCGGCGUACGAGAUGAAGGAAUUCGAGUUGUAAACCGCUUUGGCCUGAGACGAAGAGUGAGUGACGGUAAUGGGUAAAGAAGCACCGGAUAACUACGUG